UGGGCGAAAGCCUGAUCCAGCCAUGCCGCGUGCGUGAAGAAGGUCUUCGGAUUGUAAAGCACUUUCGGGAGGGAGGAAAGGUGUUAUGUUAAUACCAUAAUACUGUGACGCUACCUCCAUAAGAAGCACCGGCUAACUCUGUGCCAGCAGCCGCGGUAAUACAGAGGGUGCAAGCGUUAGUCGGAAUGACUGGGCGUAAAGGGCGUGCAGGUGGAUACAUAAGUCAAAGGUGAAAUCCCCGGGCUUAACCUGGGAACUGCCUGUGAAACUGUGAAUCUAGAGUAUGGGAGAGGGAAGUGGAAUUUCCGGUGUAGCGGUGAAAUGCGUAGAUAUCGGAAGGAACACCAGUGGCGAAGGCGACUUCCUGGCCUAAUACUGACACUGAGGCGCGAAAGCGUGGGGAGCAAACAGGAUUAGAUACCCUGGUAGUCCACGCCGUAAACGAUGAGAACUGGAUGUUGGGUACAUUACGGUACUCAGUGUCGAAGCUAACGCGUUAAGUUCGCCGCCUGGGGAGUACGGUCGCAAGACUGAAACUCAAAGGAAUUGACGGAAUCACUAGUG
RNAcentral lists this ribosomal RNA (564 nucleotides) under uncultured bacterium. RNAcentral describes it as "bacterial SSU rRNA". It matches the Rfam family "Bacterial small subunit ribosomal RNA", at positions 372 to 931 of the family's 1533-position model. The record is from RNAcentral.